CGAGGCGCGCACCACGCGGCCCCUUCCUCCAGGCAUUCGCACCACCCCCCACUCCCGUUGCAUGCUGGGAUUGUAGUUGAUCGCCUGCGAUCAACGGCCGGAAGCGGCUAAAACUACUCCUGCCUGCAUACCCCGCAGGAGCAAACCGCGCCAUGUCUCCCUCCAGGGAUCCGCACCGCUCACAAUCCUGUUUAGUGCUGGGAUUGUAGUCCUGCGAGCCUACGACUAAUAGCUGGAUUAACUCUUAAGUACUCCACAACUACACGCUUUUGAAACUGGCGUUGGCAUAGCGUUAGUUCUGUGCAGGGCGGACGCAGCAGGACAGAAUCUCCCUGGGCAUCUUUUCGGAGCAUCAAUUUUACUGCAAAAUUUUGAAAAAACAAAUUUAAUUGAUUUCCAAGGAGCUUCUGUCACUGCAGAACCAGGGUCACCUGUGGAAAAUCCUUGCUGAAGCCAUCUCCCUGUCUGCCUGUCCCUCAGGCCCAGGAGUCAUGAGUCCUUUCUCCAAUAAGUCAUUCAGUUGGCUGGCAGCAAACCCUGGUUUGUCAAGGAGGACAGAAACUCAGAGCACCCUGCACUUGGGGAUCGGCACUAGGAGCUGCUCUCUGGAUGGGGAGAUGGGAGCUAGCAGCUCACAAUGGGGUCACAAGAAUAUUGGUUCUUCUUUUAUCUGAAGUGAGGAGCACCAGAGGACUGAUCACGGCAUAGACAUUGACUACAAGACUCUGAACUUGCUGGUUGAUUGGGCCAUAUGCCCACAACAUUGCUGAGGAGAAGGAGAUGAUGAAAUCCACCCAACAGAGGACCACAGAGAAACUUACCAGCAGCAGUAUGGUCUGGAUGGCCCGUUUCUCAGGGGAAGCUCCUGGGGAAGGACCAUUGCUGUGAAGGUGGUGGGAUCACCUCUGAGGCCUGAAUAAGAGAGUCACCAUGUAUGCAAUUAAGAACAGCAGUAUUCCUACCAGGAAAGCAUCCCUAAGUGUUGUCAGAAUAAGAAACGUGGCCCUGAGGAUGAAGCUCAUGGAGAAAACUGAGCAGUACUUACCUAUAUUCAGUACAUUUGUCUGGCUCACACUGGAAGCAGCUACAGUGUAGAAGAUCCUGUUACUACUGAAAGACAAGUUGAGGAACCAUAAGAAGAAGAAAACAUGGAUAAUGUAAUUUGAAGAUUUAUGUUUAAACCUUGCCAAUCAGGAGGUGCUGGGGCUGAUGGUGGUGGCCUGGAACACACUCAGGGGGCAGGUGGUGCAGAUAGAGAGGCCCCACAACACCCUGCUCAGGUGGAAAAGUGCCUUACACUUGAAGUCAUUCUGAAGUUCAAUGAUGCAAACAGAUUUGGAGACUGCAAUAACAGUGCAAUGAAGAAGUUCACUAUGUGGACGAGGGGCAAGGGACAGAUGAUCAAGUCAGUGGGUUUUAGUCUGUGAUACAGAAGGAGAGUGAAGAUGCUGAAGAGGAACAGAAAAGUAUUGACUGAGAUUCCAACAGCAACUUGUAAAACAAAGCAGCUUUUUAAUAACAUACAUGAUAUAUAUGUACAUUGUAGUGGCAAAGAGGAAACAUAUUUGUAUAUCUGAAAAAACAAGUUUAGACAUCUUCAGUGCUGUUCUAUAGUUAAAAUUAUCACAACUAUGAUUAUGUUUAUUUCUCCCAAUUAUUAAGACUUACAAUGUAAUAUAAAUUAUUAGAAAA
Molecule: long non-coding RNA, 1692 nt
Filed under: Homo sapiens (human)
Lineage: Eukaryota; Metazoa; Chordata; Mammalia; Primates; Hominidae
Description: uncharacterized LOC101929050, transcript variant 5 (LOC101929050)
Source: RNAcentral